Molecule: long non-coding RNA, 594 nt
Organism: Heterocephalus glaber (naked mole-rat)
Lineage: Eukaryota; Metazoa; Chordata; Mammalia; Rodentia; Bathyergidae
Source: Ensembl
GUGUGGUCGGGAAGGAACCAGGAACCCAGACCCGACAGGCUUCGUUUCUCCUGGCCCCUGCCUCUGACUCCUUGUUCGGCCUGGAUUAGCCACUUCCCGCUGAGCCUGAGUGACCACGUCUGUACAAAAAGGCUUUGAGGAGGAGGUUGCCCGUUUGGCCUACUCGCAAGGAUUCGAUGCGAGGAAACUGGAGUUUUGAGUUCCAGGUCCCCUCAGGGUGUCAGGUGUUUGUCCCAGCAACAAGGAAAGUGAGUGAGUCACUAUACUGAUAGAGGAGCGCGAGGGAAGCGGCACGGUUCUCCUUUUCGCUGGGUGGCUGUGCUGAAGGACUUGGUUCUUCGAAGGUUGGAAGGAAACCUGAAGUAAAAGCUGGGAACCCUGAGAAGAGAGGGUGGAGGUCAAGGCCUUACAGGAUGCCAGGGGGGACGGGGCUGGCUCAUGGCCCAGCUGGAGAGGCAGCCACCACGGUAGGUCUCACUGGACAGGCCCCUGACUUUACCUCUGGUCAGGUACAGCUUCUGUGAGGAACUAAAACUUCUGCCAAAUACUCAAAUUUAACUAGAAGGUAGUUGUGGAGGAUGGGUGAUAGAAAAG